GUACUUGCUUCAGCAGCACAUAUACUGAACUUGGAAUGAUACAGAGAGGAUUAGCAUGGCUCCUGCUCAAGGAUAACACACAAAUUCAUGAAGCAUUCAGUAUUUUG
Molecule: small nuclear RNA, 107 nt
Filed under: Myotis brandtii (Brandt's bat)
Lineage: Eukaryota; Metazoa; Chordata; Mammalia; Chiroptera; Vespertilionidae
Source: RNAcentral